Molecule: transfer RNA, 72 nt
Filed under: bacterium
Lineage: Bacteria
Description: tRNA-Arg
Rfam family: tRNA
About the family: Transfer RNA (tRNA) molecules are approximately 80 nucleotides in length. Their secondary structure includes four short double-helical elements and three loops (D, anti-codon, and T loops).
Source: RNAcentral
AAGGGCGUGGUGUCAACGGUAGCAUGUCGGCCUCCGAAGCCGGUGGUUCUGGUUCAAAUCCAGACGUCCUUG